RNAcentral lists this ribosomal RNA (1043 nucleotides) under uncultured Alphaproteobacteria bacterium. Its description in RNAcentral is "bacterial SSU rRNA". It matches the Rfam family "Bacterial small subunit ribosomal RNA", at positions 28 to 1104 of the family's 1533-position model. The record is from RNAcentral. Lineage: Bacteria; Pseudomonadati; Pseudomonadota; Alphaproteobacteria.
AACGAACGCUGGCGGCAGGCCUAACACAUGCAAGUCGAACGCCGUAGCAAUACGGAGUGGCAGACGGGUGAGUAACACGUGGGAACAUGCCCUUUGGUUCGGAAUAACUCAGGGAAACUUGAGCUAAUACCGGAUACGUCCGCAAGGAGAAAGAUUUAUCGCCGGGAGGAUUGACCCGCGUCUGAUUAGCUAGUUGGUGGGGUAAUGGCUCACCAAGGCGACGAUCAGUAGCUGGUCUGAAAGGAUGAUCAGCCACAUUGGGACUGAGACACGGCCCAAACUCCUUACGGGAAGGCAGGCAGUGGGGAAUAUUGGACAAUGGGCGCAAGCCUGAUCCAGCCAUGCCGCGUGAGUGACGAAGGCCUUAGGGGUGNAAAGCUCUUUUGCCUGGGAAAGAUAAUCGACCGUACCAGGAGCAAUAAUCCCCGGCUAACUUCGUGCCCACCACCCNCGGUAAUACCAAGCGGGGCUAGCGUUGUUNAGAAUCACUGGACCGUAAAGCGCACGUAGGCUCAGGAUUUCAUUCAAGUCAGGGGUGAAAUCCCGAGGCUCAACCUCGGAACUGCCUUUGAUACUGGGGAUCUCGAGUCCGGGAGAGGUGAGUGGAAUUGCGAGUGUAGAGGUGAAAUUCGUAGAUAUUCGCAAGAACACCAGUGGCGAAGGCGGCUCACUGGCCCGGUACUGACGCUGAGGUGCGAAAGCGUGGGGAGCAAACAGGAUUAGAUACCCUGGUAGUCCACGCCGUAAACGAUGGAUGCUAGCCGUUGGUGGGUUUACCCUUCAGUGGCGCAGCUAACGCAUUAAGCAUCCCGCCUGGGGAGUACGGUCGCAAGAUUAAAACUCAAAGGAAUUGACGGGGACCCGCACAAGCAGCGGAGCGUGUGGUUUAAUUCGAAGCGACGCGAAGAACCUUACCAGGGUUUGACAUGUGCUUGCACCACCUGGAGACAGGUGUCCCUUCGGGGCGGGCACACAGGUGCUGCAUGGCUGUCGUCAGCUCGUGCCGUGAGGUGUUGGGUUAAGUCCCGCAACGAGCGCAACCC